This 301-nucleotide ribosomal RNA is filed under the name uncultured bacterium. RNAcentral's name for it is "partial 16S ribosomal RNA". It matches the Rfam family "Bacterial small subunit ribosomal RNA", at positions 510 to 808 of the family's 1533-position model. The record is from RNAcentral.
AGCAGCCACGGUAAUACGAAGGGUGCAAGCGUUACUCGGAAUUACUGGGCGUAAAGCGUGCGUAGGUGGUGGUUUAAGUCCGUUGUGAAAGCCCUGGGCUCAACCUGGGAAUUGCAGUGGAUACUGGGUCACUAGAGUGUGGUAGAGGAUAGUGGAAUUUCCGGUGUAGCAGUGAAAUGCGUAGAGAUCGGAAGGAACAUCUGUGGCGAAGGCGACUAUCUGGGCCAACACUGACACUGAGGCACGAAAGCGUGGGGAGCAAACAGGAUUAGAUACCCCCGUAGUCCAUGUCUCUUAUACA